Molecule: ribosomal RNA, 465 nt
Filed under: Vreelandella stevensii
Lineage: Bacteria; Pseudomonadati; Pseudomonadota; Gammaproteobacteria; Oceanospirillales; Halomonadaceae
Description: partial 16S ribosomal RNA
Rfam family: Bacterial small subunit ribosomal RNA
Source: RNAcentral
CCUACGGGGGGCUGCAGUGGGGAAUAUUGGACAAUGGGGGCAACCCUGAUCCAGCCAUGCCGCGUGUGUGAAGAAGGCCCUCGGGUUGUAAAGCACUUUCAGUGAGGAAGAACGCCUGGUGGUUAAUACCCAUCAGGAAAGACAUCACUCACAGAAGAAGCACCGGCUAACUCCGUGCCAGCAGCCGCGGUAAUACGGAGGGUGCGAGCGUUAAUCGGAAUUACUGGGCGUAAAGCGCGCGUAGGUGGCUUGAUAAGCCGGUUGUGAAAGCCCCGGGCUCAACCUGGGAACGGCAUCCGGAACUGUCAAGCUAGAGUGCAGGAGAGGAAGGUAGAAUUCCCGGUGUAGCGGUGAAAUGAGUAGAGAUCGGGAGGAAUACCAGUGGCGAAGGCGGCCUUCUGGACUGACACUGACACUGAGGUGCGAAAGCGUGGGUAGCAAACAGGAUUAGAUACCCUAGUAGUC